This 665-nucleotide long non-coding RNA is filed under the name Capsicum annuum. RNAcentral describes it as "long non-coding RNA (CANN_LNC004565)". Lineage: Eukaryota; Viridiplantae; Streptophyta; Magnoliopsida; Solanales; Solanaceae. The record is from RNAcentral.
AAAACACCCGACUUAAGAAAGGUGUAAAAAACCACGACCUGUACCUCUACAGGAUUUAACCCCAACUUCACUAAAACUCUUGAGCCUCAACAAUCAAAUAAUUACAAGGCUUCUUGUAACUUAGGAAUUAAAACUUCUAAUUCCUAUCACUACAAAAACACAAAUCUCACCCAAGAUAAGUGUUCCCAAAUCUUCGAGUUCCCCAACUUGAAGAAAAAUACUUCUAUCUCAGUUUAUAGAUCACUCAGUACAAGAACUAUGACACGUUACAAUUAAAAGAACCUACUUAUUACAACUGAUCCACGACUUAAGAAGUAUAGAUUAGGUUCUCCUUCAACUGGACGAACUUGUUUGCUUGAUUGUUGACCGUCUCUUUUUUGUGCACACCGUGCUUUGAUCUUUUCCCCUGUAUUUAUAGCAACCCAGAUUGAAACCUUCAGUUGAUCUCCUUUUCUUACUUGAAUUGGAUUGCCUUUUCCGUCUUUUAAUUUCUGCCGCCUUUCCUUGUUUCCUAGUUUGAAUUGGACUGCCUUGAUAUCCUUCCUAUCUUGACUUGGAUUGCCUUCACUCUUUUGGAUUUGAACUUGUUUCAUCCUGUCCGCCUUGUAGGAUGUUCAUGCUAAUCAGUCGACAGUAGUAGAUUCACUUGUGUGGAACAUGUUGCA